GUAAUCGGUUUGCUUUUAAAUGGUUUGCGUCAUGACUAACAUUGUAUUACUGUUGUUUUAUUAAUUUAGUUUAUUAUGCAGGCAAUGUGAAUAGCAAGAAGAAAGUAUAUUAUGACAUUUGUUGUGGAUACUAAGUGAAAGCAAUUAUAAAAAAUGCACUAUAUGACAUUUUGGAAUUUAUCAUAGCUAAAACAAAGCUACGAGUAGCACAUCCUGCGGAAAUGGCGACAAUGAGGGUGACGGUUGCAAGCGUGGACUAGCAGAUAUCGAUGGUGACGGACUGGGCGUUAAAAACGGACCCGGAGGAGACAAUAUUCCUGCGAAAAAAAGAAGAUGGUUCGUUAAAAAUUAUGAAGUUUUGUAGUAAAAAACUAUAUAUAAAAAGUGCAAUAUGACUUGAUCGAAUAACAAUAAAGAAUUUGUUGGAGCUCAAAAACUUCAAAUUUCAUUACCAUA
Molecule: long non-coding RNA, 456 nt
Organism: Bactrocera oleae (olive fruit fly)
Lineage: Eukaryota; Metazoa; Arthropoda; Insecta; Diptera; Tephritidae
Source: RefSeq, a predicted model, not a curated record